UUUGACUAUUAAAGCAAUAUCUGGCUCUGGUGAGCACUCACUUCUUUUUUUUAAAUUUUUUUUAUACUUUAAGUUGUAGGGUACAUGUGCACAAUGUGCAAGUUUGUUACAUAUGUAUACAUGUGCCAUGCUGGUUUGCUGUACUCAUUAAUUCAUCAUUUACAUUAGGUAUUUCUCCUAAUGCUAUCCCUCCCCCAUCACCCCAACCCACGACAGGCCCUGGUGUGUGAUGUUCCCCGCCCUGUGUCCAAGUGUUCUCAUUGUUCAAUUCCCACCUAUGAGUGAGAAUGUGUGGUGUUUGGUUUU
RNAcentral lists this long non-coding RNA (306 nucleotides) under Homo sapiens (human). RNAcentral describes it as "non-protein coding lnc-RRAGB-1:1". The record is from RNAcentral. Lineage: Eukaryota; Metazoa; Chordata; Mammalia; Primates; Hominidae.